UAGAUACAGAGGUACUGUGUGCAUGCAACGAGAGAGGUGCUCAGCUUGUAGCGUAAAAGAAAACCCACAGAUGAAAGGCACUGGCCUUUGUUGCAAAACAACAGUACUUAAGGACCGCUAGCUGGAAACUGAGAGAAUUUCCUGGAGUAUUACAUUCUCCCAUUCAGAGCGUGGACAAGAGUUUGGCAUUGCGCUUUUACAGAUCGCUGCUGGUAGCGGAGCACAAAGGGAACGACGAGACUCCUGCAUCUUUCAGCAAGAAGAAAGGAGUCAGUGGAGCAGACUAAUACGGACUUGUGUCGGGUGGCCUUGCCCUACAAAGGCUGCCUUUAAAAGAGAAACGCAGUGUUAUUUAAUGAGCUGUGAGAUGAAGCACUGCUGCUAACGCUCAGAUCCCGGGAUUCAUCGGCUAUUCAUUGUGCUUAAUGUACAUGUUUCUGCACCGUGCAUUUAGGAGAACCCAGAGAAGAAUCCAAAACGGCUG
RNAcentral lists this long non-coding RNA (484 nucleotides) under Athene cunicularia (burrowing owl). Its description in RNAcentral is "lncRNA (ENSACUG00000009628.1)". The record is from RNAcentral. Lineage: Eukaryota; Metazoa; Chordata; Aves; Strigiformes; Strigidae.